RNAcentral lists this ribosomal RNA (485 nucleotides) under uncultured bacterium. RNAcentral's name for it is "bacterial SSU rRNA". It matches the Rfam family "Bacterial small subunit ribosomal RNA", at positions 501 to 988 of the family's 1533-position model. The record is from RNAcentral.
CUACGUGCCAGCAGCCGCGGUAAUACGGAGGGUGCGAGCGUUAAUCGGAAUAACUGGGCGUAAAGGGCACGCAGGCGGUGACUUAAGUGAGGUGUGAAAGCCCCGGGCUUAACCUGGGAAUUGCAUUUCAUACUGGGUCGCUAGAGUACUUUAGGGAGGGGUAGAAUUCCACGUGUAGCGGUGAAAUGCGUAGAGAUGUGGAGGAAUACCGAAGGCGAAGGCAGCCCCUUGGGAAUGUACUGACGCUAAAGCGCGAAAGCGUGGGUAGCAAACAGGAUUAGAUACCCUGGUAGUCCACGCCGUAAACGAUGAUUACUAGGUGUUGGGGGUCGAACCUCAGCGCCCAAGCUAACGCGAUAAGUAAUCCGCCUGGGGAGUACGUACGCAAGUAUGAAACUCAAAGGAAUUGACGGGGACCCGCACAAGCGGUGGAGCAUGUGGUUUAAUUCGACGCAACGCGAGGAACCUUACCAGCGUUUGACAUC